This 474-nucleotide ribosomal RNA is filed under the name uncultured bacterium. RNAcentral's name for it is "bacterial SSU rRNA". It matches the Rfam family "Bacterial small subunit ribosomal RNA", at positions 335 to 799 of the family's 1533-position model. The record is from RNAcentral.
ACUCCUACGGGAGGCAGCAGUGGGGAAUAUUGGACAAUGGGGGAAACCCUGAUCCAGCCAUGCCGCGUGUGUGAAGAAGGCCUUCGGGUUGUAAAGCACUUUCAGUGGGAGGAAAGGUUGAUGGUUAAUACCUAUCAGCUGUGACGUUACCCACAGAAGAAGCACCGGCUAACUCCGUGCCAGCAGCCGCGGUAAUACGGAGGGGUGCAAGCGUUAAUCGGAAUUACUGGGCGUAAAGCGUGCGCAGGCGGUCUGUUAAGCGAGAUGUGAAAGCCCCGGGGCUCAACCUGGGGAACUGCAUUUCGAACUGGCAGACUAGAGUCUUGUAGAGGGGGGUAGAAUUCCAGGUGUAGCGGUGAAAUGCGUAGAGAUCUGGAGGAAUACCGGUGGCGAAGGCGGCCCCUGGACAAAGACUGACGCUCAGGCACGAAAGCGUGGGGAGCAAACAGGAUUAGAUACCCUGGUAGGAUAGCG